This 69-nucleotide transfer RNA is filed under the name Marmota monax (woodchuck). It matches the Rfam family "tRNA". Rfam says of the family: Transfer RNA (tRNA) molecules are approximately 80 nucleotides in length. The record is from Rfam by way of RNAcentral. RNAcentral also lists the same sequence under 2 other names. Lineage: Eukaryota; Metazoa; Chordata; Mammalia; Rodentia; Sciuridae.
GGGGUUGUGGCUCAGCAGUAGAGCACUCGCCUAGCAUGUGUGAGGCCCUGGGUUCAAUCCUCAGCACCA